This is a long non-coding RNA of Neopsephotus bourkii (Bourke's parrot), 1025 nucleotides long. RefSeq lists it as uncharacterized. The transcript is spliced from 4 exons. The record is from RefSeq and is a predicted model, not a curated record. Lineage: Eukaryota; Metazoa; Chordata; Aves; Psittaciformes; Psittacidae.
GCAGCAGCCGAGCCGUCCCUGAGGAGGGUCUGCCUGGAGCCGAGCGGGCGAGCGUGGGGCUGCCCUUGGGCUGCCCCUGAGCUGCGGAGGACCCUGGUGGCAGGGUUCCCCUGGACACAGCCGGUCGGCGGCCCUUGCCCCUCGGUGCUCUCUUCGCUGUCCCGCGUCUCUUGCGGUGAGGUCUGUCAGCGCGGCGCGGAGUCCGCCUCAGCAGCUCUUCCCGCCUGCCCCAGCGCCUUCUCCUGGCUGCGGUUCACUGCCUGUUCAAUGUGUCUAAAACUUCCCCAUUCCACCCGGACCCUGUGCUGCUCCCCGCUGAAAUCGCUUUGAUGCUAGCGCAGAUGGUGUUCAGCGGAGGAGUCCCGGGCUGAAAGACAGCCUGGCAAGAAGGAAAACGAGAAAAAAAUAAUUCAGGGUAAUUUUCUCCAGAUCGAUUCAGAUAAUGGCACAAAUUACUCUUUUGGCACCGUGUGAAAGGGGGAGGGAGAGCAAGAACUGCUGAAGAAAGCUGUGCCAGUUUGAAUGCGUGCUACACGUUUACGAGGGUGUUUUUCAACAGCAGUGUUUGUGUAAGAAGUCUGAAGCGUCUGUGCGCCAAUACAGCUGCUCCUGUGGCUCUACGGUACUCUCCUCCUGUCACCUCUGGAUCGUUAUGUCUCUAUUGAGGACAGAAGAGGAUCAAGCCCUAAACAGAAAACCAUGAUCUUGAGAUAUUGGAGGCUGAAAGAAUCCAGAGUUUUUGAAACAAGAAGGGUGAAACAAGGCCUUCUGCCCAAGCUCCUGACUGUGUGACAUGAUCCUUCAAAUCAUGAAGAACAGGGUUGCUGCUUCAUCUCCAGGUGUAUGAAUUCCACUUACCAUGUUAUGAACUUGGUUUGAGAAGCAAAAUCAAACAGAAUGUGGAAGUUGCCAAAAAUUGUUAAUAAAAACUAGCAGCAAACAUAAGAUUGCUUUCCUAUUGGUCAUCUGGGGUAGCUGUUCUGUACAUACAUCCACACAUAAACCAUAAAAAGCAUGUUGGACUU